This 497-nucleotide ribosomal RNA is filed under the name uncultured bacterium. RNAcentral's name for it is "partial 16S ribosomal RNA". It matches the Rfam family "Bacterial small subunit ribosomal RNA", at positions 28 to 507 of the family's 1533-position model. The record is from RNAcentral.
GAUGAACGCUGGCGGCGUGCCUAAUACAUGCAAGUCGAGCGAACAGACGAGGAGCUUGCUCCUCUGACGUUAGCGGCGGACGGGUGAGUAACACGUGGAUAACCUACCUAUAAGACUGGGAUAACUUCGGGAAACCGGAGCUACUACCGGAUAAUAUAUUGAACCGCAUGGUUCAAUAGUGAAAGACGGUUUUGCUGUCACUUAUAGCUGGAUCCGCGCCGCAUUAUCUAGUUGGUAAGGUAACGGCUUACCAAGGCAACGAUGCGUAGCCGACCUGAGAGGGUGAUCGGCCACACUGGAACUGAGACACGGUCCAGACUCCUACGGGAGGCAGCAGUAGGGAAUAUUCCGCAAUGGGCGAAAGCUUGACGGAGCAACGCCGCGUGAGUGAUGAAGGUCUUCGGAUCGUAAAACUCUGUUAUUAGGGAAGAACAAAUGUGUAAGUAACUAUGCACGUCUUGACGGUACCUAAUCAGAAAGCCACGGCUAACUACGUG